This 419-nucleotide ribosomal RNA is filed under the name uncultured bacterium. Its description in RNAcentral is "bacterial SSU rRNA". It matches the Rfam family "Bacterial small subunit ribosomal RNA", at positions 772 to 1188 of the family's 1533-position model. The record is from RNAcentral.
ACUGAAUAGAUACCCUGGUAGUCCACGCCCUAAACGAUGUCUACUAGUUGUUGGUGGAGUAAAAUCCAUGAGUAAACGCAGCUAACGCGUGAAGUAGACCGCCUGGGGAGUACGGUCGCAAGAUUAAAACUCAAAGGAAUUGACGGGGGCCGCACAAGCGGUGGAUUAUGUGGAUUAAUUCGAUGCAACGCGAAAAACCUUAACCUGGCCUUGACAUGCCACUAACGAAGCAGAGAUGCAUUAGGUGCCCGUAAGGGAAAGUGGACACAGGUGCUGCAUGGCUGUCGUCAGCUCGUGUCGUGAGAUGUUGGGUUAAGUCCCGCAACGAGCGCAACCCUUGCCAUUAAUUGCCAUCAUUUAGUUGAGCACUUUAAUGGGACUGCCGGUGACAAACCGGAGGAAGGUGGGGAUGACGUCAA